RNAcentral lists this long non-coding RNA (878 nucleotides) under Homo sapiens (human). RNAcentral's name for it is "HSALNT0202446". Lineage: Eukaryota; Metazoa; Chordata; Mammalia; Primates; Hominidae. The record is from RNAcentral.
GAUAAGGAACACGAAAGCAUGUUUGUAAACUGUGAAUGAUGGAAUAGGAACACAGGCUAAUUAUGCAGUAUAGUGAUGGCAUAAUGAAGAGGCACAGUGCUUUCAAAGAUAAUAGAAGAUGGCAUCCAGAACACAUGUAUAGGAACUAAUCGUUGAUGGAAAGAGGACCAAUUCUGCCACUGACAUGGGAGAAAAGAAUGAGAGCACAGAUUACUGGAUUUGUGGAGGGAGAAGAUACAACUCCUUUUGGAUACCUUCUGUUUGUUUAACUAUGUGAUGAAAAACCAUUAACUAAGAGCGAAGUGGUGAGGAGAGAAUAAAAUAUUUAAGAAUAGAGAAAGUGAUACAAAAUAAUCUCCUGAGGAGAGUGAGAGUGAGUGUACGACUUACUAUAGGACUAGAGUAAAUUGCUGAUCCAGCUACAAGUUUAUCUGAUUUUACAGAAGAUGAAGUGAAAUCAUCCAACCUGCCCAGUGGGUCAAUAUGUCUAGCCAUGCUUAGUCCCUACCCCCACUUCAACCACAGAAAAUGAGAUGCGGAGUCUCACUGUGUUGCAAAUUCCUGACCUCAAGUGAUCUUCCUGCCUGGGCCUCAAAGUGCGGGGAUUAUACGCAGGGGCCACUGCUUUCAGCCUUUAAAUUCUGUUAAAAACAGCGUUGGUGAGGGUCAGCGCUGCCACUGCACAACCUCAGGGUUGGAACCACCACCAUGGAAACUUUUGCUGCUGACACACAUGUACCCACCCACAGAACCAGAAGCCACCACACCCACCCCCAAAUGGACAAUUCAGUACUUCCCUAGUUUCUUAUAGACAACAUAUAGGUUUCUCAUGCUAUUUGAUUUCCUCUGACAAUCUGUUUUUAUUGGUGCAUUUAGAC